AGCUUUGCACAGUGGCAGUAUCGUAGCCAGUGAAGUCUAUCCGAGCCAAGAUUAUUGCUAAUUGAAAGAUUGCAAAUCCACAUUGAAAUAAUGCAUUAGCAACAGAGGAGUCACAAUCAAAGGACAACACCACGAUACCCUCAUUCUUCUAUAUUUAGUAGGACAAUCGUAAGCACACAUCUUGGGGCAUUUAAGGGCUCUCCAGUGUAGCUUCGAAUAACCCCACAAGAGGUUUUUUUCUUGCAGGGUGAUUUUUGAAGAAAUGUUGAGCAACU
Molecule: small nuclear RNA, 275 nt
Organism: Heterocephalus glaber (naked mole-rat)
Lineage: Eukaryota; Metazoa; Chordata; Mammalia; Rodentia; Bathyergidae
Gene: U4
Rfam family: U4 spliceosomal RNA
About the family: U4 small nuclear RNA (U4 snRNA) is a component of the major U2-dependent spliceosome. The structure of U4 snRNA from yeast and human has been reported.
Source: Ensembl